CAUGCAAGUCGGACGGGAUUCAAUAGCUUGCUAUUGAUGAGAGUGGCGCACGGGUGCGUAACGCGUGAGCAACCUGCCCAUUUCAGGGGGAUAGCCCGGAGAAAUCCGGAUAAGACCGCAUAUGAUCACGUUACCGCAUGGUAGAGUGAUGAAAUAUUCAUAGGAAAUGGAUGGGCUCGCGUGACAUUAGCUAGUUGGUAGGGUAACGGCCUACCAAGGCGACGAUGUCUAGGGGCUCUGAGAGGAGAAUCCCCCACACUGGUACUGAGACACGGACCAGACUCCUACGGGAGGCAGCAGUAAGGAAUAUUGGUCAAUGGGGGAAACCCUGAACCAGCCAUGCCGCGUGCAGGAAGACGGCCCUACGGGUUGUAAACUGCUUUUGCACGGGAAUAACCCUCAUUAUGUAUAAUGAGCUGAAUGUACCGUGAGAAUAAGGAUCGGCUAACUCCGUGCCAGCAGCCGCGGUAAUACGGAGGAUCCGAGCGUUAUCCGGAAUUAUUGGGUUUAAAGGGUGCGCAGGCGGGGAUCUAAGUCAGGGGUGAAAGACGGUGGCUCAACCAUCGCAGUGCCUUUGAUACUGGAUUCCUUGAAUAUACCUGAGGUAGGCGGAAUGUGGCAAGUAGCGGUGAAAUGCAUAGAU
RNAcentral lists this ribosomal RNA (643 nucleotides) under Olivibacter sp. RMN-Slr-26. RNAcentral describes it as "bacterial SSU rRNA". It matches the Rfam family "Bacterial small subunit ribosomal RNA", at positions 54 to 695 of the family's 1533-position model. The record is from RNAcentral. Lineage: Bacteria; Pseudomonadati; Bacteroidota; Sphingobacteriia; Sphingobacteriales; Sphingobacteriaceae.